Molecule: ribosomal RNA, 484 nt
Filed under: uncultured bacterium
Lineage: Bacteria
Description: partial 16S ribosomal RNA
Rfam family: Bacterial small subunit ribosomal RNA
Source: RNAcentral
AUUGAACGCUGGCGGCAGGCCUAACACAUGCAAGUCGAGCGGAUGGAGGGGGCUUGCUCCUUGAUUCAGCGGCGGAUGGGUGAGUAAUGCCUAGGAAUCUGCCUGGUUGGGGGGGCUUACUUCCGGAAACGGGCGCUAAUACGGCACACGUCCUGAUGGCGAAUGAGGCGACUCCUCGGCAUGCACCCGAGCAGAUGACCCUAGUUCGGGUUAGCUGGGUGGUGUGGUAGAGGCCUACCAACGCGACGAUGCGGAACUGGUCUGAUGGUGUGGCCAGGCAGACGGGAACUGAGACAGGGCCCAGACUCCUGCGGGAGGCAGCAGUGGGGAAUACUGGACGAGGGGGGAGAGCCUGAUCCAGCCAUACCGCGGGUGUGAAGAAGGUCUUCGGAUGGUAAAGCACUGUAAGUUGGGAGGAAGGGAAGUAAGUUAAUACCUUGCUGUUUUGACGGUACCAACAGAAUAAGCACCGGCUAACUUCGUG